AAAUGCGAUAAGUAGUGUGAAUUGCAGAAUUCAGUGAAUCAUCGAAUCUUUGAACGCACAUUGCGCCCUUUGGUAUUCCUUAGGGCAUGCCUGUUCGAGCGUCAUCUAAACCUUCAAGCCCUGCUUGGUGUUGGGUGCCUGUCCCGCCUCCGCGCGCGGACUCACCUCAAAUCCAUUGGCGGCCCCCGCGUCGGCCACGAGCGCAGCUGAAACGCGAACUCGUGAGCCCGUCCGGGCGGCUCCCAGAAGCUACACCCACCCAGUUUGACCUCGGAUCAGGUAGGGAUACCCGCUGAACUUAAGC
RNAcentral lists this unclassified non-coding RNA (304 nucleotides) under plant metagenome. RNAcentral's name for it is "partial contains 5.8S ribosomal RNA, internal transcribed spacer 2, and large subunit ribosomal RNA". The stretch from base 1 to 104 matches the Rfam family "5.8S ribosomal RNA", at positions 51 to 154 of the family's 154-position model. The record is from RNAcentral.